UACAGGGGGUGCAAACGUUGCUCGGAAUUAUUGGGCGUAAAGCGCACGUAGGCGGUUCGUUAUGUCGGAUGUGAAAGCCCUUGGCUCAACUGAGGAAGUGCAUCCGAAACUGGCGGGCUAGAGUAUGUAAGAGGGUCGCGGAAUUCCCGGUGUAGAGGUGAAAUUCGUAGAUAUCAGGAGGAACACCAAUGGCGAAGGCAGCACUCUGGGACGUGACUGACGCUGAGACGCGAAAGCGUGGGGAGCAAACAGG
RNAcentral lists this ribosomal RNA (253 nucleotides) under uncultured bacterium. RNAcentral's name for it is "partial 16S ribosomal RNA". It matches the Rfam family "Bacterial small subunit ribosomal RNA", at positions 524 to 776 of the family's 1533-position model. The record is from RNAcentral.